RNAcentral lists this ribosomal RNA (461 nucleotides) under uncultured bacterium. RNAcentral describes it as "bacterial SSU rRNA". It matches the Rfam family "Bacterial small subunit ribosomal RNA", at positions 340 to 789 of the family's 1533-position model. The record is from RNAcentral.
UACGGAAGGCAGCAGUGGGGAAUAUUGCACAAUGGGCGAAAGCCUGAUGCAGCUAUGCCGCGUGUAUGAAGAAGGCCUUAGGGUUGUAAAGUACUUUCAUCGGGGAGGAAAAAACAAAACUAAUAAUUUUAUUUCUUGACGUUACCCGAAAAAGAAGCACCGGCUAACUCCGUGCCAGCAGCCGCGGUAAUACGGAGGGUGCUAGCGUUAAUCAGAAUUACUGGGCGUAAAGAGCACGUAGGUGGUUUUUUUAAAGUCAGAUGUGAAAUCCCUGGGCUUUAACCUAGGAACUGCAUUUUGAAACUGAAAUACUAGAGUAUCGUAGAGGGAGGUAGAAUUCUAGGUGUAGCGGUGAAAUGCGUAGAUAUCUGGAGGAAUACCUGUGGCGAAAGCGGCCUCCUAAACGAAUACUGACACUGAGGUGCGAAAGCGUGGGGAGCAAACAGGGAUUAGAUACCCGU